This 195-nucleotide ribosomal RNA is filed under the name Triticum aestivum (bread wheat). RNAcentral describes it as "partial small subunit ribosomal RNA". Lineage: Eukaryota; Viridiplantae; Streptophyta; Magnoliopsida; Poales; Poaceae. The record is from RNAcentral.
AUGACGGCAAUGGCGGGCGCGACGGACGCGGUGUGGCACGUGCAUGGGCAUGGAGAGCCAGAGAGAGAGUGGCCCCGCGGGCGCGGAAGAAGAGUUGAAGGCUCGGGCAUGGGCGCGCAUAGGAGCGGGCAUGUGCCACAGGGUCAAUCCGAGGAGCUCAGUGGCUACCCCUACAAUGGCCAUGGCGGACGGUGA